AACGAACGCUGGCGGCAUGCCUAACACAUGCAAGUCGAACGAGACCUUCGGGUCUAGUGGCGCACGGGUGCGUAACGCGUGGGAACCUGCCCUUAGGUUCGGAAUAACUCCCCGAAAGGGGUGCUAAUACCGGAUAAUGUCUUCGGACCAAAGAUUUAUCGCCUUUGGAUGGGCCUGAGUUGGAUUAGCUUGUUGGUAGGGUAAAAGGCUAUCAAGGCGACGAUCCAUAGCUGGGAUGAGAGGAUGGUCAGCCACACUGGGAGUGAGACACGGCCCAGACUCCUACGGGAGGGAGCAGUGGGGAAUAUUGGAAAAUGGGCGAAAGCCUGAUCGAGCAAUGCCGCGUGAGUGAUGAAGGCCUUAGGGUUGUAAAGCUCUUUUACCCGGGAUGAUAAUGACAGUACCGGGAGAAUAAGCGCCGGCUAACUCCGUG
This 433-nucleotide ribosomal RNA is filed under the name uncultured bacterium. Its description in RNAcentral is "partial 16S ribosomal RNA". It matches the Rfam family "Bacterial small subunit ribosomal RNA", at positions 29 to 507 of the family's 1533-position model. The record is from RNAcentral.